RNAcentral lists this long non-coding RNA (1713 nucleotides) under Helianthus annuus (common sunflower). Its description in RNAcentral is "hypothetical non coding rna". The record is from RNAcentral. Lineage: Eukaryota; Viridiplantae; Streptophyta; Magnoliopsida; Asterales; Asteraceae.
UCUCUCUGGUUAUUUUCAACUUAGAGUUUCUUGUCUCCUGUGGUAUGAGCAAGAUCUCACCAGAUCCAACAAUGGCUUGGUCUGUAAUAGUGGUCGAGGCAAGUUCCAACAACCCGAGAACUAGGGUUUUACUUUCAUGUCUGAGGUAAACUCUACUUUGAAUCAACAGAUCUAGGGUUUAAUAUCUCAUGAGAAACCCUAAAUCAAAAAAGAGAAACCCUAAAUCACAAAAGGGGCUUGAAGGAAUUCCGAUCUGAAAUCGCUAUAGGGGGGCUACAAUCGAUUAAUAUUUUUGAGGUAGCUAAACCAGUCCGCCAACCAUAGCCUUUGCCUUGCUUUCAAGCUACUGGAGCCUCUAAAGGAAUAGUUUUCCAUCAUCUCAUGUGCUAAUUUACAUCAGUUGGUUGGUGUUGUUGCUGUUGAAAUUUUGAAGGCCCUGAUAUUAUCCGAGAAGGGAGGACAAAGACAGACGAGCUCCCAGUUGAAGGACUUCUUUUUGAUGAAAAUGAGGGAGAAUACAAUUUGAGGGAUGUAUAUUUAAAGACCAUGGGUCUUGAUGACAAAGACAUGGUGACACUAUCUGGUACAAGAAGCGAAGAUUUAUAAUGUGGAAAAAUAUAAGGAGUUAUGUACAAGAAACGAAUAUUUGAAUCUGGCAACUGCUGCAUCAACAACAAUAGUGGUUGGGGACUACAGAUCGGCGACAAUGAUGACUUGUGGUGGUGGUGCUUGACUUAGAACUGUGAAGAUGGUAGACACCGGGUGUAGAAUAGAGACCUGCAUGUGAGAUUAUUCCGUGAAGAGGCGACGGUGGUGACUACCGGCGAUGGAGAUGACCUCUGGUCACCAGACAAGUGACGAUUGUCAAUGGUAGCAGGUUGGGUUGUGAUUUUGGUAGUAGUGGGUGCUGAUCUAACAAGUUUGGAAUACAAGAGUUAAUAAAAAGAUGAAAUCUUGGACUUGACAGAAAGAUGUAAAGCUGCUUUGAAAUUAGUUAUUGGCUAUGACCAUGGUUUUUAAAAAAAAGGUUGAGGUGUGCUCCUUGAGGUGCGCCUCGAAGUGAGGUGCCCAAAAACGAGUCUUUGGCGGCGCUUCAAGGGGUUAGUUUGUAUGUGCCCCUCAUAGGGCUUAGGCGCUAAAAAAAGCUACACAUCAAGUGCAUCUUAGGGGUUUACCUGUUUGUUUUUUACAUCUCGGUUCACCUCGAGGCGUUUGCCUUGUGAGCGAAGGGAAAACGCCUUGAGAUUUUCUAUUUUAAACCUUGGCUAUGGCUAUGUGGUUUACUGAUUAAAGUUCAAUUUUUGCAAAAAGUUUGGUCGUAUAAGGGCACAUGAAAACCUUGUGUUGAUAUCUUUUAAUGGUUUAUCAAGAACUGGCAUUGAUGACCCGAGAUACGAUACUUGAGUUUGAUUUUAACGAAUAAUCAAGGUUUAGUUUCGUGGCCUCUUUGCAGCAAACAUGGUUGUUUGAAGUUGUUGUAGAGAUGGAGUUCCCGUUCGUGGUUUCAAGUUGCUAAUAUUUUGUUAUACGGUUGUGGACCAGCUCAAUGUGAAAGCAUAAAAGAGAUGCUGGAGUACUUUAGAAGUCAAGUUGGGUCUAAGGCUGGAGUACUUUAGAGAUGCUGGAGUACUUUAGAAGUCAAUUAAGGACAACCCUUAGGAUAGAAAAAAGGCCAAUGAGUAUUCAGGUUGAAUAUUUUUAAUUUGUUGUAUU